RNAcentral lists this long non-coding RNA (702 nucleotides) under Olea europaea subsp. europaea. Lineage: Eukaryota; Viridiplantae; Streptophyta; Magnoliopsida; Lamiales; Oleaceae. The record is from RNAcentral.
GCAAGUGUUAUAAAGUCUAGAAUCCGUCUUUCAGUCCAAUCGAACAUACUAAACAUUUUCCUAUGAAUUCGAAGUUAUAGUAUCUGUACAGAAAAAUUGUAAAACACUAACUCCGCUAUUUUCCCCUUGAGAUGUGAAUAGUUUAUAACUUUUUCAACACACCUUCUCUAACAAAUCCAGCCUUCUCCAAUACUCUCUGAGAACCCUUAAUUCUCCAGUACGGUGUUGAAAAAGUAUACAUAUCAGGAAACUAACUUGACAAAGCACCAUUUUCACAGCCCUUGUAGUUAUCCCUUGCCCCCCAAUAUUGCACUGCUAUUGCAUACCCUAAAUCCGCCCUGCACCGAUCAUCUUUGGUGGCCGGAGAAAUCGAUAUGAGUCCAAUAGACCGGUCAUCGAUGCAAAUUGAUUUGAACCAAGUCCAACAUGCAGAUUUCUUUGCUGAAUGUUUAAGGCCUCUUCUUUAGAGGUCAGAGUAUUCCACCGGAAUAACCGGAUAAUCUAGUCGUUUCCGACCCAUAAAAGUACGUCGUUGGCAUCUGUUAGCCGGGACGGCCGAAUAGUGAUGCUUGCUGGAUUCAUGCCUGUGAGUUUGGAGGAUGAAAAGGGGAAGAAACUAUGGACUAUUGUGAUUACUGUAAUUUAUGUUUGUUGUGUGUAAGGUUUAAAAAAAGGCCAAAUUCAACUUAUAGUAAAGGGAAG